Molecule: antisense RNA, 69 nt
Filed under: Couchioplanes caeruleus subsp. caeruleus
Lineage: Bacteria; Bacillati; Actinomycetota; Actinomycetes; Micromonosporales; Micromonosporaceae
Description: ASpks TB sRNA
Rfam family: ASpks TB sRNA
Source: Rfam by way of RNAcentral
CUUGACCGAGCCGAGCAGCAGAGGCAGCUCCCGGUCCCGGCCGUACGUGGCGAGCAGCGCCUGCGCCUC